Molecule: long non-coding RNA, 688 nt
Filed under: Ixodes scapularis (black-legged tick)
Lineage: Eukaryota; Metazoa; Arthropoda; Arachnida; Ixodida; Ixodidae
Description: uncharacterized LOC120839240
Source: RNAcentral
UGGCGUAAGCUACCGCCGGAUCCAAAGGGCUCAGCCGUAUUUAUCUAUCCAUCCAUCCGCCGUUACCAAGUUGCGCGCGCACACGCUUCUUAGUAACCCGUGGCAACGGUUACUUUUUUUUCCUUCUCUUUGUUUGUCCCCCCGGUUUCUUUCUUUGGCCCGCUAAUUGCUCGUUUGUUCUUUUGUCUUUCUCUUUGUUUCUUUCUCUCUCCUCCUCGCUCAUCCUCCUCCGCUUUCCUUUGUUCCGAGAGGCCGGCCCCAGUGUGGUUUCGGUUGUGCUUCGGAGCAGUCGCGUAGUCACCCGUGUCCAGCUCCUGCUUUGUUCUUUGUUCCGAAAUCGGUCUUCUUCUUCUUCGGACCCCGAACGUCGCCUCACGGUUCCUGCGUUCGUCAAAGGGCCUCCUUUCGUUCGACACAUUGGGCGCAAGAGCGAGUUGCACGGCUGGCCCUCCGUUUCAAGUGACCUCCUUCAGCUGCGGAUGACCUGUGCUUAAUCAAGACCGCUUGAAUGGCAACUGAGAACUUGCUCCAAGCAAAAAGUGUUUUUAUGAAAUCGUGUUAGCUCGUGCGAAUUCACUGAAUAGGAACAAGUGUGUUUUCAUCGAGACAGCUCGUCUGGAAACUUGCAUUGUCGGCCUAAUAAAGUUUGACGUCAAGCCUAAUAAAACGUGAGGUUAAAACGGAGAAA